This 333-nucleotide ribosomal RNA is filed under the name uncultured archaeon. RNAcentral describes it as "bacterial SSU rRNA". It matches the Rfam family "Archaeal small subunit ribosomal RNA", at positions 1046 to 1376 of the family's 1478-position model. The record is from RNAcentral.
CGAGAUCCUCGCCACUAGUUGCUAUCAUUAUUUUCAGGAAUAGUGGGCCGAAUUAGUGGGACUGCCGUUGUUAAAACGGAGGAAGGAGGGGGGNUACGGCAGGUCAGUAUGCCCCGAAACUCUGGGGCCACACGCGGGCUGCAAUGGUAGCGACAAUGAGUUCCAAACUCGAAAGAGAGUGGCAAUCUCUAAACGCUACCACAGUUAUGACUGAGGGCUGUAACCCGCCCUCACGAAUAUGGAAUCCCUAGUAACCGCGUGUCAUUACCGCGCGGUGAAUACGUCCCUGCUCCUUGCACACACCGCCCGUCGUUUCAUCGAAGUCUGCUUUUA